UUUCCGUAGGUGAACCUGCGGAAGGAUCAUCAAAGAGUAAGGGUCCUCUAGGCCCGACCUCCCAACCCUUUGUUUACCAAACCAAUGUUGCUUCGGCGGGCCCGUCUUAGGACCGCCGGAGGACCGUCGAAACGUCCUCUGGCCCGCGCCCGUCGAUGGCCCUUAUUAUUAAACUCUGAACCAAACGUGUCCUGUCUGAGUGAUUAUUAUCAAAAUUAAAGCAAAAACUUUCAACAACGGAUCUCUUGGUUCUG
RNAcentral lists this unclassified non-coding RNA (254 nucleotides) under plant metagenome. Its description in RNAcentral is "partial contains small subunit ribosomal RNA, internal transcribed spacer 1, and 5.8S ribosomal RNA". The record is from RNAcentral.